CCAGCUUGGCAACAGAGCGCAAAUCCGUCUCAAAAAAAAAAAAAGAAAAAGGUAAAAGGGAUGCAAAGGAGCUAUUCAUCCCUUUUUGCCCUCCCACUUCUGCCUUGUAAGGAUGCAGUACCAAGCCACCAUCUUGGAAGCACAGAGAGCAGCUCUCACCACAGAUAGAAUCUGCUGGUACCUUGAUCUUGGUCUUUGCAGUCUCUAGGAUUGGGAGAAGUAAAUUUCUGUUGUUUAUAAAUUACUCAGUCUAAGGUAUUUUGUUAUAGCAGCAUGAACAUAUGAAGACGCACUGUGUAUGCUGUAUGUUUCCUUCAUGGCCAUAUCCCCAGUGCCUAGCAUGGUGCCUGGCACUUUGGCUCCCAUACACAUUGGAGAAUAUUCCAUUCACUAGCACUCCUCUCCAGGAGAGGUCUGUAUACUCUUGGAAGACAAAUGUGGAUAAGGCUUGGGGCCGGGAGGUCAGGGGCCAGCCUAAGUAACAUUCGCAGGUACAUGGAUUAGCGGGCCUUGUGGGGUCUACAGUUUGUCCAGGGCCCAAGAUGUCAGCACCAUCGAGAAGCUAAGUGUGGUUGGUUAUCUGUGCCUCCUUCCCAGCCACUGCUCUAAAUAACCAUAGAGCAAAUAUUUGAAGAAUGUCAGCUUAAAGGAGUGUCUCGCUCUGACCCUCAAAUCUCAAUUUCUUUUUAAAUUGACAAAAAUUGUAUAUAUUACACAUGUGUACAACAUAAUACUUUGAAAUAUGAAUACAUUGUGGAAUGGCUAAAUUUAAGGCCCAGUGUAAAUGCUACCUCCUCUCUAAAGCUUUCCUAUCCGCCAUUUCCCUCCACAGAAGCACAGUUUGGAUUUCCUCCCCUGGGCUGUGUAACCUCAGCUGGCACUAGUUGAACUGUACUGUCUGUAUAUUUAUAUGUCUGUCUCUCCUCCCAGAGGAAGUCCAUGAGGGCAGGGACUUUAUCUUUUCGUUCACUGCUUUUUCUUAGCAUCAAGCACAAUUUCUUGCAUGUGGUAGAUAUUCACCAAAUACCUGUCGACUUAAUGAACAAAGUGCCACCAUGUGCCAGGCACUAGUUGACUUCUGAGAAGGGGUAUACGUCAAGACAUUUGUUAGCCACCCACCAGCCUCUGAAUUUAAGCCUGCCAGUAAGCCCCAUCCUUCAGGACACAGAGCUUGGUCAAGAAGGGGCCCACAACCCUAUCCCCUACUCCCUACUCCCUAGCCCCUAGCCAAUCAGGUCCAACAAGACUUAAAUUUUAGGAAUCUUGUUUGAGGAAUAGAGAAGCUGACUUUCUCAUUCCUGCAGGAUGUGAACUCAUAAGGCUGAAUUCCCACUGGUGACCCCCAGGCCCACAAGGGAAGCCAGCCUUAAGACGAAGGCAGCAUCAUGGGAGGCAGAACAGAGGAAACUGGUGUCUUUGGUGACAGGUGAGCUGCUGAAUCAAACUUCCUUCCUGAAGCUAGCCCUCCCGUCUCCAUUUCUCUUAGGUAUAUGUACCAAUCAUUCCUUUCAGUCACUUUGUUUCUGCUCUUGCAACAUGAAGCGUCCAGAAGAGGCCAGAGAAUCACAGGAAACCCAAGAUUUAACACCUCAGGACCUGCUGAGGAGAUGGGUGAAUCCUCAGUUUAGGACACUCUCAACCCUCACAUCUAGUAUGGUUUUCAGAUGGUGGCACCCCAGCAGCUCUUGGACACAGGAGAAGGAGAUGUGAACCUGGGUCUUAACCAUCAGCUGCUCUAGCUGUUCUCAGUCCUCACCAAGAAGACAACUAGGACCCAUCCAAAGACAAAAACAGCCAAAGUUAUACCUGGCACAAGACCUUUGUGGGCCCCCAGAUCACUUGUCUCGGAGGCUGGAUCAGAAAUAAACAUUUUGGUCUUAUUAUAAGCAUAGUGGAGGUGUAGGAUUGAAAAAUCAGAGUGUUGGAGCUGGAAGGAUCCUUAGAGAUGAGCUGGUCAGACCCCCUCAUUUUGCAGAUGGGGAGACUGAGGCCCACAGCAGGGAGGAGUCUUUCUUGCUCAAGAUCACACAGCGUGUUAGUGCCAAAGCUAGUACCCUCCCUAAAGGAGUUUCUCCCUUAGCCUCCCCCUGCAGAAAUGGGGCUAAGGAGACUGGGCGCAGUGGCUCACGCCUAUAAUCCCAGCACUUUGGGAGGCCGAGGCGGGUGGAUCACCUGAGGUCAGGAGUUUGAGACCUGCCUGGCCAACAUGGGAAACCCCAUCGCUAACAAAAAUACAAAAAUUAGAGUGUUCAAUCUGCUUCCAGAUGGGCGAGAAGACUCGUGGUCUGGUUCUUGGACUUCCCUAACAGCAUGGCCCCUAAAUGCCAGUCUCCACUGCCUCAAAAGAAGAAACCAAGACCACCGCCUGCUCUGGGACCGGAGGAGACAUUGGCCUCUGCAGGCUUGCUGAAGAAGGGAGAAAAAGAACAGCAAGAAGCAAUUGAACACAUUAAGGAAGUACAAAAUGAAAUAGACAGACUUAAUGAACGAGCUAGUGAGGAGAUUUUGAAAGUAGAACAGAAAUAUACCAAACUCCACCAACCAUUUUUUCAGAAGAGGUCAGAAUUGAUCACCAAAAUCCCAAAUUUUUGGGUAACAACAUUUGUCAACCAUCCACAAGUGUCUGCACUGCUUGGGGAGGAAGACGAAGAGGCACUGCAUUAUUUGAUCAGAGUUGAAGUGACAGAAUUUGAAGAUAUUAAAUCAGGUUACAGAACAGAUUUUUAUUUUGAUGGAAAUCCUUACUUUGAAAAUAAAGUCCUCUCCAAAGAAUUUCAUCUGAAGGAGAGUGGUGAUCCAUCUUCAAAGUCCACCAAAAUCAAAUGGAAAUCUGGAAAGGAUUUGACGAAACGUUCAAGUCAAACGCAGAAUAAAGCCAGCAGGAAGACGAAGCAUGAGGAACCAGAGAGCUUCUUUACCUGGUUUACUGACCAUUCUGAUGCAGGUGCUGAUGAGUUAGGAGAGGUCAUCAAAGAUGAUAUUUGGCCAAACCCAUUAGAGAACUACUUGGUUCCUGAUAUGGAUGAUGAAGAAGGAGAAGAAGAAGAUGAUGAUGAUGAUGAAGAGGAGGAAGGAUUAGAAGAUACUGAUGAAGGGGAUGAGGAUGAAGGUGAAGAAGAUGAAGAUGAUGAAGGAGAGGAAGGAGAGGAGGAUGAAGGAGAAGAUGACUAAUAGAACACUGAUGGAUUCCAACCUUUGUUUUUUAAAAUUUUUUCCAGUCCCUGGGAGCAAGUUGCAGUCUUUUUUUUUUUUUUCCUCUUGUGCUCAGUCGCCCUGUUCUUGAGUUCUCUUUUCUCUACUCCAUGGUUCUCAACUUAUUUGGGGGGAAAUACCUUGAGCAGAAUACAAUGGGAAAAGAGUCUCUACCUCUUUCUGUUCAAAGUUCAUUUUUAUCCCUUCCUGUCUCAACAAAAACUGUAUGGAAUCAACACCACCGAGCUCUGUGGGAAGAAAGAAAACCCUGCUCCCUUCGCUCUGCUGGAAGCUGGAGGGUGCUAGGCCCCUGUGUAGCAGUGCAAAGAAUUCUAGCUUGUUUCCUCCUUUCUCUGUAUGUUGGGCUCAGAGAGUACACUGUGUCUCUGUGUGAAUAUGGACAGUUAGCAUUUACCAACAUGUAUCUGUCUACUUUCUCUUGUUUAAAAAAAGAAAAAAAAACUU
This is an RNA transcript of Cercocebus atys (sooty mangabey), 3657 nucleotides long. It is a transcript of the gene named protein SET pseudogene, with no coding region annotated. NCBI's taxonomy places the organism in Eukaryota, Metazoa, Chordata, Mammalia, Primates, Cercopithecidae. The transcript has a single exon. The record is from RefSeq and is a predicted model, not a curated record.